GGGGGCGUUUAUGGAUUCGACGGGGAUUGAACGAGCAUGGGUUGCGGGUAGUGGGGAGUCGUCCACUAUAAAACGCUAAAGCCUAUUAAAUGGCAAACAACAAACUUCUUACGCUGUAGCAGCUUAAUAACCUGCACGCGUGCUCUCGCUCUGUAUCGCCCAUGUACCGGGAUGAGGGCUCAACUUUAGUGGGAUACGCUGUCACAUCUCCGCCUGGGGUGUGCUGAAGAAGACAAUCAGGCUGGGCCUAGCGAAAGCCGGUUACGGGGCGUUUGCUUUGCCGACAUUAAAACUGUGACUACACCCGUAGAGGCCUAUGUGGCGUAGUCUUCGGACAGGGGUUCAAAUCCCCUCGCCUCCACCA
Molecule: transfer-messenger RNA, 364 nt
Filed under: Paenibacillaceae
Lineage: Bacteria; Bacillati; Bacillota; Bacilli; Caryophanales
Also listed under: 1 other name
Description: Pristimantibacillus montaniterrae Standard tmRNA
Rfam family: transfer-messenger RNA
About the family: Bacterial tmRNA, also known as 10Sa RNA or SsrA, is named for its dual tRNA and mRNA-like properties. Its role is to liberate the mRNA from a stalled ribosome. To accomplish this part of the tmRNA is used as a reading frame that ends in a translation stop signal.
Source: RNAcentral